This 502-nucleotide ribosomal RNA is filed under the name uncultured bacterium. RNAcentral's name for it is "partial 16S ribosomal RNA". It matches the Rfam family "Bacterial small subunit ribosomal RNA", at positions 29 to 523 of the family's 1533-position model. The record is from RNAcentral.
AUUGAACGCUGGCGGCAUGCCUUACACAUGCAAGUCGAACGGCAGCACGGGAGCUUGCUCCUGGUGGCGAGUGGCGAACGGGUGAGUAAUACAUCGGAACGUACCCAGUAGUGGGGGAUAACGCACCGAAAGGUGCGCUAAUACCGCAUACGACCUAAGGGUGAAAGCGGGGGACCGUAAGGCCUCGCGCCAUUGGAGCGGCCGAUGGCUGAUUAGCUAGUUGGCGGGGUAAAGGCCCACCAAGGCGACGAUCAGUAGCUGGUCUGAGAGGACGAUCAGCCACACUGGGACUGAGACACGGCCCAGACUCCCACGGGAGGCAGCAGUGGGGAAUUUUGGACAAUGGGGGCAACCCUGAUCCAGCAAUGCCGCGUGUGCGAAGAAGGCCUUCGGGUUGUAAAGCACUUUUGUCAGGGAAGAAAUCUUUUGGGCUAAUACCCCGGAAGGAUGACGGUACCUGAAGAAUAAGCACCGGCUAACUACGUGCCAGCCGCCGCCGUAA